GGGCUCCUGAGCGCCCAGGUUCAGCUGCUGUGUGUAGGGGUUGGAGUCGGGGUUGGGGUCGGGGUCGGGGGCCUUGGGCCGGGCUGGUAUAGGUUCCGGGGCGUGGAGGGAGGGCCAUCAGCUUUUGCACGCUUAUGAGCAGGAGGUUGCUGCAGGUUGUAGUUCUUUGAUGGGUAAAUUUGAGCAAAUGUCUCAACUUUUGUCACCGACUCAGCGGGUCCUUUAGCUCAUGCUAAAGGAAUGAAAUCAAACAGGACUAAUAAAGAGAGGGUUAGAAAGAAUUUUUAUGUUGAUUAAUAUAGCAAUGUGAUUACUCAUAAGCAGAAAAGCCAGGAGAGGUGGCUCUGCCCCACUGGCAGAAGGGCAAGGAAGGCAAAGGAUAAACACAGAGCUGUGGAUCAGAAACUUGCAUAUUUAUAGGUUACAUAGCAAUAUUCAUUACUAAGUUGCAAUUUCUUAGUCCACCUGCACCGUUUUGCACAUGAUCAUAAAUGUGUCUCAAAUCGUUAAGUCUUGCCCCAGGUGUUUAUUUUACUGUGGAAGUGAAUUCCAAUGAGAGUCCUGGUUACCUGGUUACUUUCGGUUGUGGUCAGAUCUGGUUACAUCAAUUGAUUUUUUUUUUUUUAAUUUUGAACAAUGAAUGCAGUUGGCUAGGGCUUUUGACCAUCCAUCUUGAGCAUAGAGCAUUUAGUGCCUUUUGUCACCAGUUUAACUCUAUACUCCUGCCUCAUUUUGACAUUUGUAACUAAGCAUGAGCCUAGAUGGCCCAAAAGCCUAAAUUGCUGUGAGUGAGCAGGAAUUAGGACAGGGGCCUGUGACUGAUUCACCUGGCAGGUUCCAGGUCCCAUGAGAUCAGCUCUUAUGCCAAACACUUCCUAGGGACUGUGUGCUACUGUGCCCGAGAGAGAGAGAGAGAGAGCUGUGAUAUUGCAAAGGAGGCUCUGAGAAGGCUGGAAGAUCAGGGAGAAGGUGCAUUAAAUCUAUAGGAAACCGGGUAGUCAUAAGCCAGGCAAACACAAGUUCUUUUAUUUCAACUUAAUUUCUAAUAUCUAUAACUCUCAAUCACAUAUCACACGUUACACAAUUUUUGCAAAGGCAAAAAGCAGAUAUAAAUGCAGAAUUACUGUAGGUGGUCAAAUAGAACUUGUCCAGGGUGCAGAGCCAGGUUCAGUGAAAGGCCAAGGCUCGUCAUCGGAGAUCAAAAUGCACACACAGAUAGCAGUGACAAAGAUGAAGCACUUUACUGCAAGCUGGUUCUAGCUUAUAUAGAAAGUGAGAGUCAGUUAUGUUAAACCAGGAAGCUCCCGGGGCCAAUCAUAGUAAAGGUCAGAUCAUCACCUACGGUGCACGCAUGUCCACCCUGCAUAAGAUUCAUGGGGGGCACCAGCUGUCCACGAUCACGGAAGAUAGGAGGACCAAUUAGAAAAUUUUCAAAACAACUUGUUAUCUGCCCACUGGCAACUUGCCUGCCGCCAUGUUGCAUUAGGGGCUCCUUAUCUGAAAGGCCCGGGGAGUUCUAGCCACCCACUGGCAAUUUGCCCACCGCCAUGUUUUAAAGGCCCAGGGAGUUCUCAUGGAGACUCCCAACAUUCAGAAUAGACAGCAGUUUCAGAGUGUCAGCUUGAGAUAUCAGCUUGGAGUGGGCCAUGUACUAUCAUCAUGGACAGGAGAAGUUGUACUCUGCUGAAGCCUGGGGAUGGAGAUUCAGAGGUUUAUUGCUGUGGUGAUUUUCCUGGGCAAGGCUCGUGAUGAAAAUUGAUCAGGUGAUGGGAUCAGGGUGCCCACAAUGUCCAGUCUCAGGGCAUGCCUCCUUUUAGGGAUCUCAAAUGAGGGGUUGCUUUACUCCAUGGUCUGGCAUGUUUGAUGAGCUCCUGAUCCUGGAUUUCCAAUAUGUGUUUGAUAAGCUUGUGCAUCCGCGUGCUUCAGAUUAAUUCACUAAGUUCACAUGUGGUCAUUCUUAUUAGCAUGAUUAACUUAUUUAUCACUUUGUGCUUUAUGGUUGUGCCUGGUAGGUGGUGGUGGUUUACUUGUACAAACAAGGCAUGGAGGCAUUCCACCUCAGCACUUAAACUCAAAAUCGGAGCUUCACAGGGGUGGGAGAAAGUGGCUCUGUGCGCCCUCUGCCUGAGCAGCGCAGGAUGCUAAAUACUCCCUGCUCAGCAGUGCUUCUGCACCCUCUCGUGGCAGUUCCGUGAAGCUCUGAAAUUUUUUCGGAUUAUUCCAGGCCAAGAUUUUGGAACUCAAACAGAAAUAGAGCCUACCAUCCCACACCGUAAUCCGAACGGAUGAAGACAGCAAGAAGCAAAGUACAUGGUUGACAGGCCUUGGAAUCUGGCAGAGGUGCCUCUGCAUGUAAUGCUGUGUUGGUUUUCUGAGUGCAGUGGCUUGAAAGCUGGGCUUCCUGUGAUGCCUUCUGGGGAGAAAGGAUGCUACUUGAACUUUCAGGGGCAUCUGGGAAGAAAUGUACCUUGGGAGCCAGGCCAGCACUCCAUGAGGAACAGGUACAGAUUUUCACCUUUCAACACAAGUUAUAGAGCUUCAUUUUGAAUAAAAAACAGAGGUAUCAAGAAUUUUCUUAAGUUUUCUGCUGAGAUGAAACCACUGCCAUCCUUCAGUAGUGUAGUUGGCAGCUUCCUGGUUUAGAGGGAGAAUUUGAGAAUUAUUCAGGACUUGAAGGUGGGUCUUUUCAGCUCAGCAGUCACAGAUCAGAAUUGAGCUCCCUGUGACUUCUGUGCAGUGAAGUCUUCCCUAGACAGGGAAGUGUUCCACCUUCCCACCACCUGUGCACAAGGUCAC
Molecule: long non-coding RNA, 2796 nt
Filed under: Marmota monax (woodchuck)
Lineage: Eukaryota; Metazoa; Chordata; Mammalia; Rodentia; Sciuridae
Source: RNAcentral